Molecule: ribosomal RNA, 870 nt
Filed under: uncultured bacterium
Lineage: Bacteria
Description: bacterial SSU rRNA
Rfam family: Bacterial small subunit ribosomal RNA
Source: RNAcentral
GGCUUAGAGUUUGAUCAUGGCUCAGAUUGAACGCUGGCGGCAUGCUUUACACAUGCAAGUCGAACGGCAGCAUGGAGAGCUUGCUCUCUGAUGGCGAGUGGCGAACGGGUGAGUAAUACAUCGGAACGUGUCCUGUUGUGGGGGAUAACUACUCGAAAGAGUAGCUAAUACCGCAUAAGACCUAAGGGUGAAAGCGGGGGACCUUCGGGCCUCGCGCAGUUGGAGCGGCCGAUGACUGAUUAGCUAGUUGGUGGGGUAAAGGCCUACCAAGGCGACGAUCAGUAGCUGGUCUGAGAGGACGACCAGCCACAUUGGGACUGAGACACGGCCCAAACUCCUACGGGAGGCAGCAGUGGGGAAUUUUGGACAAUGGGGGCAACCCUGAUCCAGCCAUGCCGCGUGCGGGAAGAAGGCCUUCGGGUUGUAAACCGCUUUUGUUAGGAACGAAAAGGUAUCUGUGAACAACAGGUAUUGCUGACGGUACCUAAAGAAUAAGCACCGGCUAACUACGUGCCAGCAGCCGCGGUAAUACGUAGGGUGCGAGCGUUAAUCGGAAUUACUGGGCGUAAAGCGUGCGCAGGCGGUUGGGUAAGACAGGUGUGAAAUCCCCGAGCUUAACUUGGGAACUGCACUUGUGACUGCUCAACUAGAGUAUGUCAGAGGGAGGUGGAAUUCCAAGUGUAGCAGUGAAAUGCGUAGAUAUUUGGAAGAACACCGAUGGCGAACGCAGCCUCCUGGGAUAAUACUGACGCUCAUGCACGAAAGCGUGGGGAGCAAACAGGAUUAGAUACCCUGGUAGUCCACGCCCUAAACGAUGUCAACUAGUUGUUGGGCCGCAUGGCUUAGUACACAGCUACGCGAGAAGUGACG